AGUGAACGCUGGCGGUAGGCCUAACACAUGCAAGUCGAACGGCAGCACAGUAAAAGCUUGCUCUUACGGGUGGCGAGUGGCGGACGGGUGAGGAAUACAUCGGAAUCUACUUUUUCGUGGGGGAUAACGUAGGGAAACUUACGCUAAUACCGCAUACGACCUACGGGUGAAAGCAGGGGAUCUUCGUACCUUUCCCUCAUUCAUGAGCCGAUGUCGGAUUAGUUAGUUGGCGGGGUAAGGGCCCGCCAAGGCGACGAUCCGUAGCUGGUCUGAGAGGAUGAUCAGCCACACUGGAACUGAGACACGGUCCAGACUCCUACGGGAGGCAGCAGUGGGGAAUAUUGGACAAUGGGCGCAAGCCUGAUCCAGCCAUACCGCGUGGGUGAAGAAGGCUUUCGGGUUGUAAAGCCCUUUUGUUGGGAAAGAAAAGCAGCAGGUUAAUACCCCGCUGUUCUGACGGUACCCAAAGAAUAAGCACCGGCUAACUUCGUG
This 492-nucleotide ribosomal RNA is filed under the name uncultured bacterium. Its description in RNAcentral is "partial 16S ribosomal RNA". It matches the Rfam family "Bacterial small subunit ribosomal RNA", at positions 29 to 507 of the family's 1533-position model. The record is from RNAcentral.